RNAcentral lists this microRNA precursor (57 nucleotides) under Parasteatoda tepidariorum (common house spider). Its description in RNAcentral is "microRNA pte-mir-35c precursor". Its record names the gene pte-mir-35c. Lineage: Eukaryota; Metazoa; Arthropoda; Arachnida; Araneae; Theridiidae. The record is from miRBase by way of RNAcentral.
CAAAAUUUUUCGCUGCGGUGGUUUAGAUUUGAAAAUCACCGGGCGAAAAGUUUGCUU